RNAcentral lists this ribosomal RNA (460 nucleotides) under uncultured bacterium. RNAcentral's name for it is "partial 16S ribosomal RNA". It matches the Rfam family "Bacterial small subunit ribosomal RNA", at positions 338 to 795 of the family's 1533-position model. The record is from RNAcentral.
CCUACGGGAUGCAGCAGUGAGGAAUAUUGGUCAAUGGACGCGAGUCUGAACCAGCCAAGUCGCGUGAAGGAUGACUGCCCUCUGGGUUGUAAACUUCUUUUAUAAAGGAAUAAAACGAGGCACGUGUGCCUUUUUGCAUGUACUUUAUGAAUAAGGAUAGGCUAACUCCGUGCCAGCAGCCGCGGUAAUACGGAGGAUCCGAGCGUUAUCCGGAUUUAUUGGGUUUAAAGGGAGCGUAGAUGGGUUGUUAAGUCAGUUGUGAAAGUUUGCGGCUCAACCGUAAAAUUGCAAUUGAUACUGGCAGUCUUGAGUACAGUUGAGGUAGGCGGAAUUCGUGGUGUAGCGGUGAAAUGCUUAGAUAUCACGAAGAACCCCGAUUGCGAAGGCAGCUUACUAAACUAUGACUGACAUUGAUGCUCGAAAGUGUGGGGAUCAAACAGGAUUAGAUACCCGAGUAGUC